CCUACGGGUGGCAGCAGUGGGGAAUAUUGGACAAUGGGGGCAACCCUGAUCCAGCCAUGCCGCGUGUGUGAAGAAGGCCCUCGGGUUGUAAAGCACUUUCAGUGAGGAAGAACGCCUGGUGGUUAAUACCCAUCAGGAAAGACAUCACUCACAGAAGAAGCACCGGCUAACUCCGUGCCAGCAGCCGCGGUAAUACGGAGGGUGCGAGCGUUAAUCGGAAUUACUGGGCGUAAAGCGCGCGUAGGUGGCUUGAUAAGCCGGUUGUGAAAGCCCCGGGCUCAACCUGGGAACGGCAUCCGGAACUGUCAAGCUAGAGUGCAGGAGAGGAAGGUAGAAUUCCCGGUGUAGCGGUGAAAUGCGUAGAGAUCGGGAGGAAUACCAGCGGCGAAGGCGGCCUUCUGGACUGACACUGACACUGAGGUGCGAAAGCGUGGGUAGCAAACAGGAUUAGAUACCCCAGUAGUC
Molecule: ribosomal RNA, 465 nt
Filed under: Vreelandella stevensii
Lineage: Bacteria; Pseudomonadati; Pseudomonadota; Gammaproteobacteria; Oceanospirillales; Halomonadaceae
Description: partial 16S ribosomal RNA
Rfam family: Bacterial small subunit ribosomal RNA
Source: RNAcentral